This 65-nucleotide transfer RNA is filed under the name Pseudostenophylax fumosus. RNAcentral's name for it is "tRNA-Gly". Lineage: Eukaryota; Metazoa; Arthropoda; Insecta; Trichoptera; Limnephilidae. The record is from RNAcentral.
AAUAUAAAUAGUAUAUUUAACUUCCAAUUAAAAAGAUUAAUAAUUAAAUUAAUAUAAAUAAUUUA